GAUGAACGCUGGCGGCGUGCCUAAUACAUGCAAGUCGAGCGAACAGAUGAGGAGCUUGCUCCUCUGACGUUAGCGGCGGACGGGUGAGUAACACGUGGAUAACCUACCUAUAAGACUGGGAUAACUUCGGGAAACCGGAGCUAAUACCGGAUAAUAUAUUGAACCGCAUGGUUCAAUAGUGAAAGACGGUUUUGCUGUCACUUAUAGAUGGAUCCGCGCCGCAUUAGCUAGUUGGUAAGGUAACGGCUUACCAAGGCAACGAUGCGUAGCCGACCUGAGAGGGUGAUCGGCCACACUGGAAGUGAGACACGGUCCAGACUCCUACGGGAGGCAGCAGUAGGGAAUCUUCCGCAAUGGGGGAAAGCCUGACGGAGCAACGCCGCGUGAGGGAUGAAGGUCUUCGGAUCGUAAAACUCUGUUAGUAGGGAAGAACAAAUGUGUAAGUAACUAUGCACGUCUUGACGGUACCGAAUCAGAAAGCCACGGCUAACUACGUG
This 497-nucleotide ribosomal RNA is filed under the name uncultured bacterium. Its description in RNAcentral is "partial 16S ribosomal RNA". It matches the Rfam family "Bacterial small subunit ribosomal RNA", at positions 28 to 507 of the family's 1533-position model. The record is from RNAcentral.